This 460-nucleotide ribosomal RNA is filed under the name uncultured bacterium. RNAcentral describes it as "partial 16S ribosomal RNA". It matches the Rfam family "Bacterial small subunit ribosomal RNA", at positions 338 to 795 of the family's 1533-position model. The record is from RNAcentral.
CCUACGGGUGGCAGCAGUGAGGAAUAUUGGUCAAUGGACGAGAGUCUGAACCAGCCAAGUAGCGUGAAGGAUGACUGCCCUAUGGGUUGUAAACUUCUUUUAUAUGGGAAUAAAACGUUCCACGUGUGGGAUUUUGUAUGUACCAUAUGAAUAAGGAUCGGCUAACUCCGUGCCAGCAGCCGCGGUAAUACGGAGGAUCCGAGCGUUAUCCGGAUUUAUUGGGUUUAAAGGGAGCGUAGGUGGAUUGUUAAGUCAGUUGUGAAAGUUUGCGGCUCAACCGUACAAUUGCAGUUGAAACCGGCAGUCUUGAGUACAGUAGAGGUGGGCGGAAUUAGUGGUGUAGCGGUGAAAUGCUUAGAUAUCACGAAGAACUCCGAUUGCGAAGGCAGUUCACUGGACUGCAACUGACACUGAGGCUCGAAAGUGUGGGUAUCAAACAGGAUUAGAUACCCUUGUAGUC